Molecule: ribosomal RNA, 1501 nt
Filed under: Salmonella enterica
Lineage: Bacteria; Pseudomonadati; Pseudomonadota; Gammaproteobacteria; Enterobacterales; Enterobacteriaceae
Description: bacterial SSU rRNA
Rfam family: Bacterial small subunit ribosomal RNA
Source: RNAcentral
CACAUGCAAGUCGAACGGUAACAGGAAGCAGCUUGCUGCUUUGCUGACGAGUGGCGGACGGGUGAGUAAUGUCUGGGAAACUGCCUGAUGGAGGGGGAUAACUACUGGAAACGGUGGCUAAUACCGCAUAACGUCGCAAGACCAAAGAGGGGGACCUUCGGGCCUCUUGCCAUCAGAUGUGCCCAGAUGGGAUUAGCUAGUUGGUGAGGUAACGGCUCACCAAGGCGACGAUCCCUAGCUGGUCUGAGAGGAUGACCAGCCACACUGGAACUGAGACACGGUCCAGACUCCUACGGGAGGCAGCAGUGGGGAAUAUUGCACAAUGGGCGCAAGCCUGAUGCAGCCAUGCCGCGUGUAUGAAGAAGGCCUUCGGGUUGUAAAGUACUUUCAGCGGGGAGGAAGGUGUUGUGGUUAAUAACCGCAGCAAUUGACGUUACCCGCAGAAGAAGCACCGGCUAACUCCGUGCCAGCAGCCGCGGUAAUACGGAGGGUGCAAGCGUUAAUCGGAAUUACUGGGCGUAAAGCGCACGCAGGCGGUCUGUCAAGUCGGAUGUGAAAUCCCCGGGCUCAACCUGGGAACUGCAUUCGAAACUGGCAGGCUUGAGUCUUGUAGAGGGGGGUAGAAUUCCAGGUGUAGCGGUGAAAUGCGUAGAGAUCUGGAGGAAUACCGGUGGCGAAGGCGGCCCCCUGGACAAAGACUGACGCUCAGGUGCGAAAGCGUGGGGAGCAAACAGGAUUAGAUACCCUGGUAGUCCACGCCGUAAACGAUGUCUACUUGGAGGUUGUGCCCUUGAGGCGUGGCUUCCGGAGCUAACGCGUUAAGUAGACCGCCUGGGGAGUACGGCCGCAAGGUUAAAACUCAAAUGAAUUGACGGGGGCCCGCACAAGCGGUGGAGCAUGUGGUUUAAUUCGAUGCAACGCGAAGAACCUUACCUGGUCUUGACAUCCACAGAAGAAUCCAGAGAUGGAUUUGUGCCUUCGGGAACUGUGAGACAGGUGCUGCAUGGCUGUCGUCAGCUCGUGUUGUGAAAUGUUGGGUUAAGUCCCGCAACGAGCGCAACCCUUAUCCUUUGUUGCCAGCGGUCCGGCCGGGAACUCAAAGGAGACUGCCAGUGAUAAACUGGAGGAAGGUGGGGAUGACGUCAAGUCAUCAUGGCCCUUACGACCAGGGCUACACACGUGCUACAAUGGCGCAUACAAAGAGAAGCGACCUCGCGAGAGCAAGCGGACCUCAUAAAGUGCGUCGUAGUCCGGAUUGGAGUCUGCAACUCGACUCCAUGAAGUCGGAAUCGCUAGUAAUCGUGGAUCAGAAUGCCACGGUGAAUACGUUCCCGGGCCUUGUACACACCGCCCGUCACACCAUGGGAGUGGGUUGCAAAAGAAGUAGGUAGCUUAACCUUCGGGAGGGCGCUUACCACUUUGUGAUUCAUGACUGGGGUGAAGUCGUAACAAGGUAACCGUAGGGGAACCUGCGGUUGGAUCACCUCCUUACCUUAAAGAA